Long non-coding RNA from Rhododendron vialii, 524 nucleotides. RefSeq lists it as uncharacterized. NCBI's taxonomy places the organism in Eukaryota, Viridiplantae, Streptophyta, Magnoliopsida, Ericales, Ericaceae. The transcript is spliced from 3 exons. The record is from RefSeq and is a predicted model, not a curated record.
AUGAUUCGAACCGUUUAAUACUAGCGUUUAACCCGUUCUAUACACGGGUAAAACUAACACGUUAUAGCAUUGUGCCCGUUCAAACCUACUUUUAUUAAUUGUCCCGUGUAUCGAACGGGCACAACGCUAGAACGGGUUAAACGCUAUGUCUCUCACAAUCUAAUGGUCAAUUUUGUAGAAAAGUAAUGACAACAUCUUAUCUAGUGAGGAAAAUUGUUAACUAUAUUUAUCUUCGUGGCAUUCCAGACAAUUACAGUCUUAUAAAGGUACGGCCAGUUAUGUUAAACUCAAUCCCUUCUGUUAAACUAUACUGGGAUCCUAAUUGAAGCAUUCCAUCGAACACGUGGAAGCCACUGAAGCAUUAUGUUUUUUAAGCCAAAUUUUCCAAUUACAUUGGAAAGCAAAGAGGGUAAACAGAUUUUUAUUAAAUGCAGUAAAGAGGGUAAACAGAUUUUUAUUAGGAUCAAAGUAACGUCAAAAAAUAAGGAAGAUUAUUAGGGCGAGAAUGAAUGGUUUACCUGUUU